GAUGAACGCUGGCGGCGUGCCUAAUACAUGCAAGUCGAGCGAACGGACGAGAAGCUUGCUUCUCUGUUGUUAGCGGCGCACGGGUGUGUAACACGUGGAUACUCUACCUAUAAGACUGGUAUAACUUCGGGACACCGGCGCUAAUACCGUAUAAUAUUUUGAUCCGUAUGGUGCAAUAGUGAGAGACGGUCUUGCUGUCACUUCUAGAUGCAUCCGCGCUGCAUUAGCUAGUUGUUAAGGUCACGGCUUAUGACGGGAACGAUGCAUAACCGACGUGAGAGGGGGAUCGGCGACACGGGAACUGAGACACGGUCCAGAGUCCUACGAGAGGCAGCAGUAGGGAACCUUCCGCAAUGGGCGAAAGCAUGGCGGAGCAACGCGAAGCCAGUGAUGGAGGUGUUCGGAUCGUAAAACUCUGUUAUGGGGGAAGAACAUAUGUGUAAGUAAAUGAGCACAUCUUGACGGUAACUAAUCAGAAAGCCACGGCUAACUACGUG
RNAcentral lists this ribosomal RNA (497 nucleotides) under uncultured bacterium. Its description in RNAcentral is "partial 16S ribosomal RNA". It matches the Rfam family "Bacterial small subunit ribosomal RNA", at positions 28 to 507 of the family's 1533-position model. The record is from RNAcentral.